This is a long non-coding RNA of Phyllostomus discolor (pale spear-nosed bat), 722 nucleotides long. RefSeq lists it as uncharacterized. The transcript has 3 exons. NCBI's taxonomy places the organism in Eukaryota, Metazoa, Chordata, Mammalia, Chiroptera, Phyllostomidae. The record is from RefSeq and is a predicted model, not a curated record.
GCUCACUUGCUGGCGCUCGUGCGUGCGUGUGUGUGUGUGUGUGUGUGUGUGCAUCUUUGUUUCCUUGGGGUUUUUGCAGGGGUGGCCAUGCCCAGGGGUUGGGUCAGGGCCCUGGGGCUGCAGUGAAGACCUGCAUGCCUGGCUGCGUGCUCGCUCCAGCUGGUACAGGCUGCUCAGAACUGCCGAGAACAUGAACCUCUGAAGGCAGAGCACAUCGGAGUCCAUGUUGUUUGCUUCUGUUCUGUGUUGGGGGAUCUGAGAGCAGCACUGUGACAUCAUGCUGCAGAGGAGCCACGUUCUUUUCUCUCCCAUCUUUCCUCCCUUUCCCCCUUCCCCCUCUCCUUCACAGUAACACCGCUUGAACUGAGCUUUGGAGCACUGUGGGGUGGGCCCGGCUCAGGUGGAGGGAGGGCUUGGUUGGGCUGUUGGGAUCUUCGUGACCACAAGCCUCAUUCAGGAUCCUAUGACUUGGAGGAAGGAGGGCAGAGGAUUGAAUUAGCAGUGCGUCAUGGAGAGCUGGCCGGAGCUCCUGGGGCAGGUGUGGGCAGGCCCUGUGCUCCAGCUUUGCACCCACCCGCCGAGCUCUGGGGGCCCCUGAAGGGCAGAGGGGAGGCAGGCCACCCUCUCUGAGACAGACAGAUGCUGCCUCUCCCUUGGGGAGAGAUCCUUGGAAUGGGCUUCCGGAAGGAGAGGAUGAGAGGAGAAAGGAAGAGCACAUGUCU